Leucoraja erinaceus (little skate) is the source of this 4648-nucleotide long non-coding RNA. RefSeq lists it as uncharacterized. NCBI's taxonomy places the organism in Eukaryota, Metazoa, Chordata, Chondrichthyes, Rajiformes, Rajidae. The record is from RefSeq and is a predicted model, not a curated record. The transcript has 2 exons.
GACACAUCGUGAGCACAAACAAGACAAAGACUUUUAGUAUUAUAUAGAUGUCUUUCCUUUUGCCAGCACAAAAGCAAUUUCAAGCUUAAAAUGUAUUUAAAACAUGAGCUAACAUUUUCAGUGGUACAACUACUUUCACUGAAUCACCGGAUUGAUAUGGCAGAGAAGGAGGCUAUUUGUCCCAUUCAGUCCUUCCUGGCUCCUUCUGGAGCAAUCCAUUCAGUCAAAGAUAGACAGAAAAAGAUUAACUCAGCGGGACAGGCAGCAUCUCUGGAAAGAAGGAAUGGGUGGCGUUUCGGGUAGAGACCAUUCUUCAGACUGGUUGGGGAUAAGGGGAAUGAGAGAUAUAGACAGUGAUGUGGAGAGAUAAAGAACAAUGAAUGAAAGAUAUGCAAGAAAGUAAUGAUAAUAAAGGAAACAGUCCAUUGUAAGUUGUUUGUAGGGUGAAAAUGAGAAGCCAGUGCAACUUGGGUGGGGGAGGGAUAGAGAGAGAGGGAAUGCCGGGGCUACCUGAAGUGAGAGAAAUCAUUAUUCAUAUCACUGGCUGCAAGCUGCCCAAGCAAAAUAUGAAAUCCAUUCAGUCCCCUCCCCCUAAUCUUUCCCAUUGGCCCAGUAAAUUAUCUUUUCUCAAAUGAUUAUCCAGUUCUCUCUUGAAAAUCCUUUUUCUGAUUCCACCACUCUCACUGCCUGGGAGCUCCAGAUCUUUGCCACUGUCUGUUUCAAAGAAGUUCCUAACAUCCCUGCAUUUCUUGGCCUUCACUUUAAAUUUACUGGUCUUUGCAAUGACAAAACUCAAUGAUGAAAGCAUCUGCAAUUUUACAGUUGGACAGACUAUAUUAUUAAUGUACCGUACACCAUAGAAUAUAAUUGCAAUGCAGUAUCUGCAUGGUGUAGUUUUAUUUUAGUGCUUUGUCUACUCUUCUGGGUGAAACUAUAACGAUCAUAAUGCUUUGAGAUCUAAGAAGAUGACUAUGGUCCAUUUACUAUUUUACGUCUUCAUUGAUCAUACGCCCUUGCUUUACGUUUAAGUAAUUUUUCUUAAUUAAAAAUAAAUAAGUAAUAAUAAUAAUUCUUAUGGAUCAGAUCAAUCGCUAUGCUUUCCACCUGGAAGGAUGUUGGAGUAAGUGACAGUAGUGAUGAGUACCUGACCCCCAGCUGGCUUCUGUUGUAUCUGGUGCAACAGGAAGAGAAUGUGGACCACAAUUCAUCUCAUCAGCUUUGCUUACACAUUUAUUCAUGACUGGUCAAGAAAGACUAACAUUGCAGUGAUAAUAAUGAAAUAUGAAAGCCUACAUCACAGCGCCUAUAAGUCAUCAAAAACAACUCGAGUAACCAUUCCAAUGCUCCCUCCACAAUCCAUAGGUAGUCUUAACUAUUUGUGCAGUGUGUAAUUCUGACUGUUAAUGCAUUCAGCAUGAGUAAUAUAUAUUUGAUAAAAAGGUUCAUAUUUACUGGUAGGUAGUGAUGCAAGAAAAUGAUUUGUGGCAACAUAUGACCUAUGUGAUUACAGUUCUUCCAGAUUAUUUCUUACGUUAUGUUCCUUUUAAUAUGGAAGCGAGUGUUGAAAGACAUGCCCCUUUCAUCUUUAAAUUUCAUGCUGGAGGGCUUGUAUUACUGGAGAAAAAGACACUUUGUUCUUCUGAAAUAAGUCCUGAGGUAAUACUGACUUACAUAAAAUAUAAUCUAUAAUAACAAAUGUACUUUGUGGCAAACAAUUUAUGAGGCAAAUUCUUUUUUUUUCUCUAAUCCUUCCUAGCGUCACUGCACAGCGGCAGUUCACUUUAGGCCAACAUUAGAUCCAGAGCAAAAGCAGCAGAACACAUAUUCUGAAUGUACAUGUGGGGCACAUUUUGCUUUUGCACAUGGAAUCUUGGUCAUAGGAGUUGCUUAUCAUCUUAAAUUAAUGCUUUCUGCAUUAAUUGUUGCAGAGGCUCAUAUACUUUGCCGCAAGCUAUGUAGUUUCUCAUAACAUGUAAUGGAACACAGGAACUGUACGACUGUUAUAUCAUGGCUGUAAUAAUUACAUCCACAAGAGGCUGCAAUUCCAUGCAUGCUGAAGGCAGGGAUGAUUGAUAUCAUCUCAAUCAGAAUAUUUAUUAUCACUUUUGUCUGCCAGGAACUGAAUGAGAAUUUUAAUGCACAGGGUGCUAUUCAUUGAACUCAUUAAAACUGCAGUAUCCCUUGUCAAGCAGACUCGCUUGUCAUUUUAAUUGCUUCUACCAUACUCUGAGAAGGUGGGUCCAUCAUGGAUAAGUGACAGAGAGACAAAGGAUUAUAGGGAUAAAUAUGGGUGGAAAGGUGUAGUUCAGUGGUUGCUAGUUUUUAAAGCUGACACGCAGGAACAAGCAGCUACGGAAAGACAGGUCAUUGUAGCAUUUGUGGCUGCUAGAUAAUAUUGUUAUGGAGUUGUUCAAACAAUCAGAUUUUUCAUGAUUGCAAUAUUUCCAUCACCUAAUUUCAAUUUCUCAAAAACCCCAUUAUUGCAGUCAUUGUUGUGGGGUUACUGUGAGAUGGAUCAAAUUGUGCAUAAUUCUAUGCUGGAGUGAAAGACAAAAUACAUUUUACAACAAUAGCACAAAGAUCAUGUGUCGUCCAUCAGUUUUGUUUAUAUAUAUUAAAUAUCAGUAACUGGUCAAAAUGACCCAUUCUCAUAGUGAUUGUGAUAAAUGUAAUAACAUGGAUGUAAGUAUUGCAUGCAAGGAGUGUUUAAGUAUUAACCUUAUUGCCAGAAUUUUUAUUGAAUCUCACUUAAUAAUGAGUAAUAGAAUCAUAAAGAGCAUAGAAGCAGGACCUUCAGCCCAUCACGUCCAUGCUGAUUAAUCAGCACAAAAUCGAUGUUGAUCCCAUUUUCUCCCAUCAACUCCACCACACCCACCCCUUGUCGCACCAAUUCCCCUCCCAGCCACUUACACCAGGGGGAUUUUACAAUGAAUCUAACUACCUUUAGCAUGUGGUUAGAAACUGGAACAACUAGGGGAAAAUCCAUGUAAUCACAGGGAGAUAAGCAGCAUAUCUGAAAUUCCACAUAUUUAAGUCCCUCCCUAUUGACAUAAACUGUAAUUCAUAAUUCAUGUAUAUUGUGCACAUUGCUGUUUUAUUUUGCUGUUGCAAAGAUGAAUCUAGGAAAAUAAAUCAGAGAAGAUUCAAUAAAAAAGGAAGCGUAAAUAAUGACUUUUAAAAAUAUGUUCAUUGAUGGUGUCUCCACUUCCAAACCCACUAUUUUGUUGCUUGUAGAAACUGAGACUUUGCAUGCAAACAUGUACCCAGGUAUUCCCUGAAACCUCCCACUCUUUAAAGACAAUUACUCAUGCAGCCACUCGGAGAUCGUCAGCCAAUAUAAAUCUCAAAUUUUGUUUUGGCCAAAAUCUGACCAAAAAAAAAUUAUCGCACCCAAUGUUCUGGGGUUAGAGUGAAAUAGAUCAAAUUAUGCUGAUAUUUUAAUGAAAUCCUAAAAUGAUGGAACUAUGAAACAGCUAACACAUCUUUACCUAAAAUAACCAUCUACAGAAAGUACGUUUCUAUAAUUAUUUGUAAUGGUAUUUUGUUAUCCUUUAUUAAUAAUAGUGCUGGAUAUAGAGCGUCAUUAUAUGUGUUGACCUCUUCUUUUUAAAGCCAUUGUCAUUAUGCCCAAUCUCAAAAUACUCAUAUGAGACUUUUUAUUUACAUCCUCACAUUCCACUUGAUUGCUUUUGAACACUUGGAUCCUUUCCCAAAUCUCUGCCUCAUAGUUCUCUGCUUGAAUUUCUCCAAUCAAGUCCAUCUGCAGGUGAGAGCCCCACUUAUGCCUCGACUGUUCUUCUGCCCAACCUCCUAUCCUUCACUUUCUUGCAAAACUCUGCUGCCUGAAUCUAAUUGCAAACCAAAUCCCUCUCACUCUGCACUCUGAGCCCCUGACUCAGGUUUGCUUCCAGUUCAUCAACACUUCAGCUUUGAACAUCUUGUCAAUGCAUUCAAAUCCUUUCAAAGCUUGAUUUGGCAUCUUCUUAUUUAUCAUCUGCAGGCCAAGAUCAUCCGCAAACUCUCCCAUCUCCUCAUUCAGCACUUUCCCUGCUAAAUACCACUUGCCAUUGGCUCCUUUUUCUCCAGAUGUGAUCAAUUUUCAGAUCACAUUCUCCAGUCUCUGCAGCCUACCAUCGUUGGAGCUGGGAGCUGCCUUGGACUGUCGUGAGCCCCACCACGGGGCGCGGACUUAACAUCGGAGCGGAUCCCUUGCCUGGGAUUGCUCCCACCACGGCCUGCGGACUUACCAUCAAGGGCUCACAGUCUCGGGGGAGGCCGAGUCGGGAGCUCCAACGCCGCAGCCUCGAUGCGAGGUUCGAUCACCCGGCACGGGGGAGAUGACAUCCCCCCGAUGCAGGAGCUGAACGCCUCGAUGCAGAGGGCCCGAACGUCGCUGGCUACGGGAGUCAAGACCGUCCCGUCAACGGAGGGCUCGAGUCCCCCAACCGAGGAAGAACAAAAGGAAGAGACUUUAACUUUAUUUCGCCUUCCAUCACAGUGAGGAAUGUGUAGGAGUCACUGUGGUGGAUGUUCAUGUUAAAAUGUGUUUUUGAGUCUGUUGCUUUUAAUGGUAUGACUGACCUGGCCAGUGAAAUUCCUCGUAUGUUGCAAAGCAUACUUGCCGAAUAAAAUCUGAUUCUGAUUCUGA